This 498-nucleotide ribosomal RNA is filed under the name uncultured bacterium. Its description in RNAcentral is "partial 16S ribosomal RNA". It matches the Rfam family "Bacterial small subunit ribosomal RNA", at positions 28 to 507 of the family's 1533-position model. The record is from RNAcentral.
GAUGAACGCUGGCGGCGUGCCUAAUACAUGCAAGUCGAGCGAACAGACGAGGAGUUUGCUCCUCUGACGUUAGCGGCGGACGGGUGAGUAACACGUGGAUAAUCUCCCUAUAAGACUGGGAUAACUUCGGGAAACCGGCGAUAAUACCGGAUUAUAUAUUGUACCGCAUGGAUUAUUAGUGAAAGACGGUUUUGCUGUUACCUAUUGAUGGAUCCGCGCCGUAUUUGGUAGUUGGUAAGGCAACGGCUUAACCAGGCCAAGAUACGGAGCCGUCCCGGGAGGGGGGUCGGGCCACACUGGAACGAAAAAACGGCCCGGACUCCUAGGGGGGGAAGCGUAGGGGAAUCUUGCGCAUUGAGCGAAGUCCUGACGGGGCAACGCCGCGGAGGUGAUGAAGGUCUUGGGAUCGUAAGACUCGGUGAUUGGGGAGAAAGAGAGGGGUAAUUGACUGUGCACGUCGUGACGGUACCUAAUCAGAAAGCCACGGCUAACUACGUG